UACCAUGAGUAAAUGUAUUGCAAAACCAUAAGAGUAACCUACAUGACGAGCAGUAAAGUAGAGUUACACUCUCAACGCCUCUUCUUCUUCUCUUAAAUUUUACUCAGGAGUGAAAAUAAAGCUGCUAUGGAAUUAUAUUUUCUUACAAUUCAGAUUCCUGUGUUGUGUAUCGGUAUUGUGCUGUGGAUAUUAUGUUGCCAUUUUGCAAGGAAACGCAGAGAAGCAGGGGCCUGGCCAACUGAGCGCAGUGAUUCCCCUUCUGUUUACAUCAUCCCUAUAUAUGAUGAGGAGGAGCACGAGGACGAAGAGGACGAAAUGGACAUAAAUGGAGCAUAUUUCCAGCCUUCUUACAGAGAACCUCCCGUGUACUCGAUAAGAAAUGUCAGCCCACCUCCUCCGUAUAUGUUUGAACCACCAUCCUACCCCGACCCACCGCCGUCAUACACAGACCCUCCAGCUUACUCAGAGCAACCUUGAUCCUCUUCAUCAUCCUCUUCCUCCACUUCAAACACUCUCCUGCCUGAAUCCACUGUGCUUUAUAUUAAAGGGCAGAUU
This is a long non-coding RNA of Acanthochromis polyacanthus (spiny chromis), 555 nucleotides long. RefSeq lists it as uncharacterized. The transcript has 3 exons. NCBI's taxonomy places the organism in Eukaryota, Metazoa, Chordata, Actinopteri, Pomacentridae. The record is from RefSeq and is a predicted model, not a curated record.